RNAcentral lists this ribosomal RNA (356 nucleotides) under uncultured Chloroflexota bacterium. RNAcentral's name for it is "uncultured Chloroflexi bacterium partial 16S ribosomal RNA". It matches the Rfam family "Bacterial small subunit ribosomal RNA", at positions 42 to 402 of the family's 1533-position model. Lineage: Bacteria; Bacillati; Chloroflexota. The record is from RNAcentral.
GCGUGCCUAUACAUGCAAGUCGAACGGGAAGUAUUAAUUUCGAUUUUUACUUCUAGUGGCGAACGGGUGAGUAACGCGUUGGUGACCUGCCCCGAAGAGGGGGAUAACUCCGCGAAAGCGGAGCUAAUACCCCAUGUGGUCUCUGAGAUUAGAUGCUCAAUGACUAAAGGAGCAAUCCACUUCGGGAGGGACCUGCGUCCCAUCAGCUAGUUGGUAAGGUAACGGCCUACNAGGCGAUGACGGGUAGGGGGCCUGAGAGGGUGGCCCCCCCACUGGACUGAAACACGGCCAGAAUUUACGGAUGGCAGCAGUAGGAAUUUUCCCAAUGGGGGAAACCUUAUGCAGCAACCCCCCGU